Non-coding RNA from Zea mays, 139 nucleotides. NCBI's taxonomy places the organism in Eukaryota, Viridiplantae, Streptophyta, Magnoliopsida, Poales, Poaceae. The record is from Rfam.
AUUGUUGAUGAUGAAGAACUUAUCUCGUACAUUCUGGCAGGACUUGAUGAAGAGUAUAACUCGGUGGUCUCUGUUGUGGUGGCCCCUGUUGAGUAGGUCACCGUAGCUAAAGCCACCUCCUAGAUUCUCAGCUUUGACG